UGAUGCUGGAGGGAGCCUGGCCCAUGCUCAAACACUCGCUGCAGUGAAGCGAGAAGCUGCAGUCUGAUGAAAAGAUGACCAGAAAGCUUCCUCGUAUGUUCUCGGCUCAGCUGCAGCCUCAUUCCUCACCCGGUUCUCCAGUCUCUCAACAUAAAGCCCGCCUUCCUCUCCUGACUACUCAGUCUUCCAGCCUUCAGCCUACUCUGCAGCCAAGCCCACCCCUCUCCGUCUUCUGCCCUACCCCUUUCCCUCCUCUGGCAGCCCCUUCCUACUAUCCCACCUUAAGGAUCUCCAUGCCCAGCACCUCCAGACAUUCAGCUAAGCGCACUGUGCAUCUCCCCCCACUUUCCUGCUACUCCUCCAUUCUUGUCCCUACUCCCCCCAACAGCCCUGUUGAAUAGUUCCCUUCUCUCCAGUCCCCACCUUCAACCCUCCCACCCUCCCUCAGCCAUACCAGGUGAGCCACCAAUCUCAUUGUGGGGAAAGAAAGGUUCCCCUACUGCUACCAUCAUCCAGAAGUUCCAGGGCUGUGGGCACCUGGAAGCUUGACCUUACAAACAUCAUUCAGAAGUCCCGGGUUGUGGGCACCUGGAAGCUUGACCUUACAGACAAGGAAUGCAGAACCGUGGAGCCAAUAUGGAGUGCCUCUCUGUUGACUUCCAUACUGACUGGGUCUUGGCAGCUGAUCCUAACUGAGCAGGAACCCAGAGAUUUCUAGAGAAAUCAUCCCCCUAAGGAUACCAGUAUUUCUUGGUUCACAGUCGUGGCCUGGAAGGGCUCCAGAGUAAAGCCCUGGCUCUGGGGUGGAAAGAAUACACGUGGACACGUUGCAUCCUUCACCUUCCUAGACACUUGUGGCAAGCUCACUGCAUGUGACAGGAAGGACCAGGGUGGCUGGCCCAGCCAGACCAGCUUGCUUCAGACUCCUUUGGAACCUGCAGAUAAUAGACUGUGUAUGUCCAAGUUGCAAGAUGUCUGAAGCAUUCCGUGCCUUCUCAUUAUAAACUUGGGGAUGAUAUCAUCAGGUGACACUGGUGACAACCUAAGACAUUAUACUCUCCAAAACAUUGGAUCCAAGUGCUGUGGGCCUGUAAGAUGCACCCCAGCCGGCUUCAGAAUGGUGCUUGGGGACAAAAUCAGCUUGUGGUGUGCCAACAUGAGUGGGAAACCCUCACCCCACUCAGAAAGAGCACCCCCAACUUCAAUCUGGGAACAUGGGAAGCCAUGCUGAGGGGGCAUCUCAGCAUGUCUCCUUAUAUUUGCUUAAAAUAUAUUGAUUACGUUUAUUGCAACAGUA
Molecule: long non-coding RNA, 1297 nt
Organism: Mastomys coucha (southern multimammate mouse)
Lineage: Eukaryota; Metazoa; Chordata; Mammalia; Rodentia; Muridae
Exons: 3
Source: RefSeq, a predicted model, not a curated record